CAGUCGCCGCGGUAAUACGUAGGGUGCGAGCGUUAAUCGGAAUUACUGGGCGUAAAGCGUGCGCAGGCGGUUUUGUAAGACAGGCGUGAAAUCCCCGGGCUCAACCUGGGAAUGGCGCUUGUGACUGCAAAGCUAGAGUGCGGCAGAGGGGGAUGGAAUUCCGCGUGUAGCAGUGAAAUGCGUAGAUAUGCGGAGGAACACCGAUGGAGAAGGCAAUCCUCUGGGCCUGCACUGACGCUCAUGCACGAAAGCGUGGGGAGCAAACAGGAUUAGAUACCCCUGUAGUCCCUGUCUCUUAUAC
RNAcentral lists this ribosomal RNA (301 nucleotides) under uncultured bacterium. RNAcentral describes it as "partial 16S ribosomal RNA". It matches the Rfam family "Bacterial small subunit ribosomal RNA", at positions 509 to 807 of the family's 1533-position model. The record is from RNAcentral.